AUGAACUCUUCUCCAGGCUUCAUGACUGUGAUGCUCCUCAUAUUCAGGGCCCAUGGAGACUCAGUGACUCAGACGGAAGGUCAAGUGGCCCUCUCAGAAGAGGACUUUCUUACGAUACACUGCAACUACUCAGCCUCAGGGUACCCAGCUCUGUUCUGGUAUGUGCAGUAUCCCGGAGAAGGUCCACAGUUCCUCUUUAGAGCCUCAAGGGACAAAGAGAAAGGAAGCAGCAGAGGUUUUGAAGCUACAUAUGAUAAAGGGACCACCUCCUUCCACUUGCGGAAAGCCUCAGUGCAAGAGUCAGACUCGGCUGUGUACUACUGUGCUCUGGGUGA
Non-coding RNA from Mus musculus (house mouse), 335 nucleotides. Lineage: Eukaryota; Metazoa; Chordata; Mammalia; Rodentia; Muridae. The record is from the annotation of a RefSeq genome assembly.